Molecule: long non-coding RNA, 365 nt
Organism: Cyprinus carpio carpio
Lineage: Eukaryota; Metazoa; Chordata; Actinopteri; Cypriniformes; Cyprinidae
Source: Ensembl
CUAGAGAUCUGCUCAGAGAACCACUGCACCACAGGACACCGGUGGCCAGCUGCCUUUCUCACCAAAAACCUGAAAUAAACAAGUUGUUUAGAGGUGUGCCUUGGGAAAACAAACAGUUGUGACUGGUGACAUAGUUAGUUAUGAAAGAAACCGGUCUACUUCGUGGAUGAUAAAAUAACAACACAGCUGGCUCGAAUGCUCUUGUUUGAAUGGAUGAGGCACACUGGAUGCUGGGAAUUACAGCUAGGGUUCACUGCCAACUGGGUGAGCAUCCAUAAGGCCUCAUGACCCCGACACAAAAGAGCAGAUAAACAUGGGCUCCCAGCAACCCCUGCUUUUCAACCAUCAUCUCUGAUUUAACCCCA